GAGUGAAAUAGAACCUGAAACCGUGUGCUUACAAGUAGUCAGAGCCCGUUAAUGGGUGAUGGCGUGCCUUUUGUAGAAUGAACCGGCGAGUUACGAUUUGAUGCAAGGUUAAGCAGUAAAUGUGGAGCCGUAGCGAAAGCGAGUCUGAAUAGGGCGUUUAGUAUUUGGUCGUAGACCCGAAACCAGGUGAUCUACCCUUGGUCAGGUUGAAGUUCAGGUAACACUGAAUGGAGGACCGAACCGACUUACGUUGAAAAGUGAGCGGAUGAACUGAGGGUAGCGGAGAAAUUCCAAUCGAACCUGGAGAUAGCUGGUUCUCUCCGAAAUAGCUUUAGGGCUAGCCUCAAGUGAUGAUUAUUGGAGGUAGAGCACUGUUUGGACGAGGGGCCCCUCUCGGGUUACCGAAUUCAGACAAACUCCGAAUGCCAAUUAAUUUAACUUGGGAGUCAGAACAUGGGUGAUAAGGUCCGUGUUCGAAAGGGAAACAGCCCAGACCACCAGCUAAGGUCCCAAAAUAUAUGUUAAGUGGAAAAGGAUGUGGCGUUGCCCAGACAACUAGGAUGUUGGCUUAGAAGCAGCCAUCAUUUAAAG
This 591-nucleotide ribosomal RNA is filed under the name Staphylococcus aureus. RNAcentral describes it as "partial 23S ribosomal RNA". It matches the Rfam family "Bacterial large subunit ribosomal RNA", at positions 536 to 1128 of the family's 2925-position model. Lineage: Bacteria; Bacillati; Bacillota; Bacilli; Caryophanales; Staphylococcaceae. The record is from RNAcentral.